GUAAGGAAUAUUGGUCAAUGGGGGCAACCCUGAACCAGCCAUGUCGCGUGAAGGAUGAAGGCGUUAUGCGUUGUAAACUUCUUUUGUAUGGGAAGAAUGACAGGGAUUUAUCCUUGGAGAGACGGUACCAUACGAAUAAGCACCGGCUAACUCCGUGCCAGCAGCCGCGGUAAUACGAAGGGUGCAAGCGUUAUCCGGAUUCUUUGGGUUUAAAGGGUGCGUAGGCGGAGCGUUAAGUCAGUGGUGAAAUCCUGCAGCUUAACAGUAGACUUGCCAUGGAUACUGGCGCUCUUUAGUGCGCUUUAAGUGUGCGGAAUGUGACGUGUAGCGGUGAAAUGCUUAGAUAUGACUUGGAACACCGAUAGCGAAGGCAGCUGACUGAGCCUUGAUUGACGCUGAGGUACGAAAGUGUGGGUAGCGAACAGGAUUAGAAACCCGAGUAGUCC
This 446-nucleotide ribosomal RNA is filed under the name uncultured bacterium. Its description in RNAcentral is "partial 16S ribosomal RNA". It matches the Rfam family "Bacterial small subunit ribosomal RNA", at positions 354 to 796 of the family's 1533-position model. The record is from RNAcentral.